RNAcentral lists this long non-coding RNA (692 nucleotides) under Zea mays. RNAcentral's name for it is "long non-coding RNA NONZMAT000106". Lineage: Eukaryota; Viridiplantae; Streptophyta; Magnoliopsida; Poales; Poaceae. The record is from RNAcentral.
CGUCGCCGUCGCGUCCAGCUUUGCUAUAUAUGCAACGUUCAGUGCCGCCUGCUUGUCCUAGCUAGCUUGGCCACCACCACAGAUGGUGGCCGCCCUGCGAGUUUUGGUGCCUUGCCUUUUGUUUCUCUCGGGGGCUACACUGUCUCAGCUCGGUGGGCAUGCAUAAAGCGUAGCGCGUAGGUUGCGCUGCCUGAAAGGGAGGUUCUUCGGAGGUACCUUGUGCAUCGUACGUACGUCUAGCAGGCUGCUAAACAACAAGGUUUGUUUAGUAGGACGAACAACAAUAAUUAGUGUGUGGAAGUGGAAGCUAGUGCCGCCCGUCGAGCGGGCGAACCUAGUAUAGAAAGAAGUUUAGCAUAUCAUGUAGGCACAAGAACCGGUCUCUCUUAGUCACAAAUGUUAUCCCACUCAUAUAUGUAAUGUAAUUGGAGAGUAGUGUGCUGCUGGCCGUCCAUUUUAGCUUGCACUGAUUGGCUGCGUUUUACAUACCUUUCGUCGACCGUCUGCCGUCCGCACGAUCCCUACCGAUCGCGCGGCAGAUUUAAAUGCUGGUACGGGAGAACUUUUUCCUUCUAGUUUAGGACUUGCACACGUAGCCUAGCUAGUGACACUGACAAGGACUGAAGCUGAAAUGGGCUGCGUUGGCGUUGCGUACACAUAGCUCAUACAUCAUGCUGCGUGUUCAAUUCCAC